Molecule: long non-coding RNA, 4923 nt
Organism: Monodelphis domestica (gray short-tailed opossum)
Lineage: Eukaryota; Metazoa; Chordata; Mammalia; Didelphimorphia; Didelphidae
Source: RefSeq, a predicted model, not a curated record
CAAGGGGAACAGUCAGUCUUGGGCAUGCUCAGUAGUGCUCAUGGCUGGGAAGGCCUAUGACCCUUGACCCCAGCUUCUCCCAGGUUAGGCGGGAAAACAGGUUUCUUUGUUCUCACCUGGUUAAGAGAAACCACACCUAUGCUUUGUCAUUAACCAAUGAGAAUCAUCCCUAUGUACUGUGUAUAUUUGCAUAUCAAAAACUAUAUCUAGCCCAGCUGGCUCCGCCUUCUCUCUCUCUGCUCUCUGCCCUCUGCUCUCUGCUCGCUCCUUCUCUUUCAGGCUACCUGAUGGCUGUCCUUGCAGGAGCUUGGCCUCUGGCCAAGCUCCAUCUUUAAUCUUUCUCUAUUCACCUCUCUGACCUGCGUGGAAUGGAUCUCAGGACUGGAAUAGCCUACUGAAUUGGUCCUUUGAUCAGAGCUUAGCUGUGGCUCAUCGAUAAUUAAUAAAGACUCAUCCUGAACACCUCAUAUCUCUACUAGGACUCCGUCACUUCCCUCGUGGUAUCAAAACUUCUAUCCUGUCUCUAUCUUCCUACCUUGUGGCUUCUCUCACCUCUGAGAGAGCUACAAAUGGCGCCCAAACGUGCUUAGGGCCCACUCCUAGCACUCUCGUGGCAUUCCACUCUUUUAUUUCACACAGCGAAUGGGAGAACGCGUUCGAGGACACGAGGCUAAUAGUAGGCGGGUGCCGGAAGUCCAGGAAGGUUGCCGAUCCUCUGGCCAAGGACGGUAAGUCCUCCUCUGCUUGAGGUGGGUCUCCCCUCUGAACCCUGCUCGACUCCUAAUGUCGUAGCUUGAUGGGGGAGAAAUGGAAGUCUCAAGAGCUUAAUUGCCUGAGACGGUGAAUCAGGAUGAGGGAAGCACACGAUCGGUCAGAGAGGGAUUCUUAAACUAUCUCUGUCAGGGAGGUGCAGUUUCCCUCCCCCACCUGGGUCUGCUAGUCGGAGGCCUCCUCUCUCGGACCUGGAUCUCCGGAGGUUAAGAAACACCUGAGGAGUGGUCUGAGGGGGAGGGGAAGAAAAAGGACAUUUGACCCAGGGAAACCCUCACUAGGGGCGAUUGAGAACUUGAAAAAUCUCAGUCUGAAACAAACAGUUGCUAGAGCCUAGUGAAUUUCAAAAGGAGCAACUGGGAAAAGAAAAAGCAGGAGUUAAAAUUUCAUCAGGAAAGCAAAGUCAAAUUUACCUGCUAUUCAUACGCAAAAGCGGGAAAGGCUAGCGAAGAAGCAAGGCAGAAACUGCUGCAGAAUGCUAAGGAGUUCUUUCUUAAGCACUUCUUAUUUCAAAAGUUCUGCAAGCUAACCUUUACAAGAAACUCCCGGUGCCUUUUCAGGAGAGGUCGGACUCAGAUGCAUUUGAAAGGCCUAUCAGGAAGUGGUUGCUUUAACUGAAAGCAGGGCAUUUAAAAGAUCAGAAUUACUUGGAAAAAACGAUAAAAAACAAAAAAAUUUUUUCCUAAUAAAACCGUAGUUCUCAGCACAAUUAAGGAAUCAAGGUAAUAAUCCUGAAUUAGGUUAAAUUCGGAACAGCCUAAGUUGUAAAAAGAUAUUGCCAUCCUGUAACCAAAGGCAGAAGAUUUUUUUUAAAAAAAGCAAGUCCUAGGGACUCUUUUGUUUGAGGUCCAGCCAGGUAAAGGCAGGCUUUACCUGGGCGAUUGCAAAUACAGUAAAGUAAGAUUUGGGAAUUUGAAUUUUAAUUUAGUUUUAAUUUAAGUUGGAUGUAGGCAAAAUUAUAAAGGAAUGUCUGCUUAUAUUUUUUGGAUAAAGGAAGUUAAAAAAGGAGAAUUAAAAAAUCUUUCUCUGACUUUUGUUAUAUGCCACAGAAUAUCAGGACUAGAAAUGUUUUAUCUGUAGAGAAAUUUUGGUAUAAAUCACAAGGUAAUUAAAGUGCAAACAGAAAAUUUUUAAGGUUUGGGCUUAAAUCUGAAGCAGCUUGAAAUGUUUUUUCUCUACCGGCCACGUGGCUGGAGCCACGUGGAAGAUAGCGUCAGAGCAACUGAGGUUGCAAGUUGUAUCACUAAGGCUGUAAUUGGCUAGAAGGAAAACUUUAAUAUUAAGAUAUAAUAAGCAUGAAUUGGAAUAUGAUUUAAAGGAAUUUCUAAAGCUUUCUAAUUUUAACUAUGGAGGAAUUAUUAACACUUUUCUAAGCAGGACAUAAAGCAACAGGAUGAAUCUUGAGCAGAGCUUAUUCAAACAGCCUGUAUGCAGUUCAGAAACUUUUUACUGGGCAUAUUACUAUACCUGUAUCCAGAAAGCAAAUGAUUUAUAACUAGAAUAGCUUUUACUAUGGAAAAUUAAGACACAUGCUCAGCAGGGUAAAAGCAUGGUUAGAAGGAUUCAAUCUGUUUACCAGUGGUUAAUUAUUAAGGUUAUCAGGAACUCUGUUACUCAGUACAGUAAUUUAUUAAGGAUUUGAAAGAGGCAAUACUAUCAUGUAUUAAAAUUGCAGAUAUUGAAGCUGAUCAUGAUAUUGAAAAGAGACCUAUGAUAAUAAUGCAAAUUCAAAGGUUACUGGCAUAAUUUGAUUUAUUUCUGCAGUGAAGAUUUGCAGAAUUAGCAGAUGAAAGUAAUGAUUUUAGUCACAGUAUUAAGAUCUUUUCAGUUAUGAAGCUAAGGGCAGUAGUUCAGAAAUAACAACUUCUGUGCAAUUGUUUGAUAAUUCUGUGCAUAUUUUUACAGCAUAAGACGAUGCUAUAAUUUUAAUAAAUGCACAAGGUGGAAAUUUUUCAAAAGCAAAAAUUGUGUGCAGGCAGACAAAGGCUUAAGAUCCCAGCACACAUGGGUCAAUUCACAAGUGAUUUCUAGUAUGAUAUUUUUAUGAUUAUGGGUUUGAAAAAGCAGAUAUUUAAGCAUCUAUACAUGCUGCUUUGCAAAAUCUAUUGUACAUCUAUAUCCUGAACAAGCAGGUGAUAUCGCUUAUCAAUGCAAACUGCUGUGGAUUAAUUUCACCCCUGAGGAAUAUCCACUGUAUAUUGUGGAGCAAAAGGUGCAUUUCAGUAUGCUCCUGGCACAAAGGUUGAACUGUGAAAAGUGAUGGGAGAUACUUACUCUCCUGGUUUAUGGGUUCAAGCUCAAAUGAAGAAGUGAGCAAAGUGAUUGCAGAUUUUAUGAAUAACUGUGCACUACUGUCUAUUCCAAACAGCUUGGAAUAGCAGGGCUUUUAACAGCAAUGCAAAGGCUAAAUGGCAUAGCUCAUGGCUUACAUGCAAGCUAUGGUACAAAGAGCUCAAAGGAAUUCAUGAGCCCCAAGGUUCAAAAACUGAAGGUAUAUCUGUUCUGUCACUUUCUAACUCUCUUAAGACCCAAUGAGGCUUUCAUUUGGGGUCGAGGUCUUGUUUAUAUGUUCACAGAUAAUGAAAACAUCUGGUCUCCCACGUCAUGCUUCAUGCCAGCUGAUACAGACCAGGAAGAGAAGCAGACGGAAGGUGAUGGCAUCAGCUAUCUACAUGCCAGCCACAAUCCAGACUCGCUGGAAGGACACUUCUUUGGUGACUAAUAUCACUCUAGAACAAUGACAUUACACUAUUAGAGACAUUGGCUAUUAGGCCACUGAUGGACACUUGUCAUGCUGACAUCCAUUGAGAUGGGGUACCCAGAGCAACAUCAAGUAUGCUAACUCAGAAGGACUAAAUCACACUUGUGUCUGUACAAGACACCAGAUACAUCCCACACUCCAAGGACUUUGCGAUGGGAUUGAGAUGAAAUAGCUACUAAUUGUCUAGCUACUAAAGUAUACCUUGUAUUUUGUAUAUGAUACUGUCAAAGGGAAUUUUGUAUGCAUUAUGAAUUGUAUGCAUUGUAAAGCUACCACUUAUAUUGUAAGAAUUGCUGUUAUCAACAAGGGUAUAGACCUUGGUAGGACUCUCCAAAGAGCAGGAGAUAGAAAACUUUCAUUCAUAGCAUAGAUCUGAUAUUUCUGACAUCAAAAAUGAGGUGCUAAGCAGAAAAUGCUGCACAGACAGGUUUAAUGGACAGAUGACACUGAUGUUACUCUCGAGAAAGGAUGAGAGAUCAGGUAAAAGACACUAGGAAAUCUUUAAUCAGGAACUUGAGUUAUUGUAAGAGAUCAUUGACAUCCAGGCAAAGAUUAUGUUCCUGACAUUACAUUAAGGGCUGACUACCAUAGCAGUAGUUAACUGUUAAUACCAUGGUUAACCAUUACUCCUGAUACCCUGUUUUUGUGGGUAAUAUCUUGAUAGGAAAAACGUCUUGCUCUCCUCCAACAGUCCCAGAAUUCAGACGGCCGCUGGAUUCGGGAUCUAUUGGCUUCCCUUUCAUAUACUGGAAGACGUUCUGGUAUAUGGAAGUAAGACCUCAUGAAAAACUGAGGGCUCUAGGUUUGACAAUUUCUGUGGACGCGCAGUCAUUGUCUCUCCUAGGUGGAAAAAAUUAUUAUUGCACAAAAACAUGGAGCAAGGGCAAAGUAUAAUCUAAGUUUUACUGUUUUGGAGUAUGGAUUAAAAACAUGACACAAUAGGCACAGAUAAGCGUGCAGAAAAAGCACAUUGAAUAUUAUUCACUGACAAUUAGGAAUGAAAAAGCUAUGUCAAAUGCUGUAGGUACAAGAAACUGUAGAAAUUGUUUCUACAUGGGAAACAACUUAAGCUUCUAUUUACCCAAACAUUGGUUUGGUGGAAUGAAUCUUGCAAAUAUUGAUAAUGGUAUAGGCUUGGUUAUCAUAUUGAUGGGUUUAUUUAUACAAGCAGAGAUUUAAAAUAAGGAAGACAUUAGGAAUAUGCAGUCAGAACUUGAAAUAUUACUUCAUUAUCACCAUCAUGGUUAUUUAAGCUACAAUUGAGAAUGUAAAAUGGAUGGGAAUAUUGGUAUUUGUUAAAAAUUGCACUGUGAUUGAUGUAUUGAUGUUUUUGCAAAGCCUGUAAUGGUGCAAAAUUAUGUUCAUAUACAAGGCGAAUUUUGAUCUAUUUA